This 291-nucleotide ribosomal RNA is filed under the name uncultured bacterium. RNAcentral's name for it is "partial 16S ribosomal RNA". It matches the Rfam family "Bacterial small subunit ribosomal RNA", at positions 505 to 796 of the family's 1533-position model. The record is from RNAcentral.
GUGCCAGCAGCCGCGGUAAUACGUAGGUCCCGAGCGUUGUCCGGAUUUAUUGGGCGUAAAGCGAGCGCAGGUGGUUUAUUAAGUCUGGUGUAAAAGGCAGUGGCUCAACCAUUGUAUGCAUUGGAAACUGGUAGACUUGAGUGCAGGAGAGGARAGUGGAAUUCCAUGUGUAGCGGUGAAAUGCGUAGAUAUAUGGAGGAACACCGGUGGCGAAAGCGGCUCUCUGGCCUGUAACUGACACUGAGGCUCGAAAGCGUGGGGAGCAAACAGGAUUAGAUACCCUGGUAGUCC